CAUGGAACGUGUAAACCUCGUGGCUUUCAUAUGUAAGGAGGCAGGAGACACUUUUCACACUUUCAAGAAGCGCAAAGAAGCCCUACCAAGGAAUACCCCAAGUUAUUUUAACAUUCUAUUGAGAAUUUCCAGCGGCCUUUUAACUGCCUUCUAGCUUCGCAUGUUAAGA
RNAcentral lists this long non-coding RNA (169 nucleotides) under Apteryx rowi (Okarito brown kiwi). Its description in RNAcentral is "lncRNA (ENSARWG00000006009.1)". The record is from RNAcentral. Lineage: Eukaryota; Metazoa; Chordata; Aves; Apterygiformes; Apterygidae.